UCAAAGGAAAAGUUCUUGAUGCCAUGCCCAUUUAAAAAUUUAAAAUAUCCAAAGAUCACCGGGAUUAAUCAGCCGGAUAACGGGUGUCAACUAGAAAAAAUCAAAACGCCACUGUUUUUCAUCUCCUUCGACUUGAAGCUUCGUCUCCCAUCUCCUUGUUGGUUCCAUGGAGAAGAGAGCCGUGAGAUCGACGCGUUCACCGGCAGGCCGUUCAAGGGCAACCCGGCGGCCGUGUGUCUGCUGGACGCUCCUGAGGACGCGGCGGCGGGAGACGACUGGAUGCAGUCGGUCGCCAAAGAGUUCAACGCCCCGGUCACCGCUUUCCUCUCUCGCGCCGUCGAUGUGGGAUCCGAUGGCCCGACCAAUGGCGUUGCCGGCCCCCGAUUCAAUAUCCGAUGGUUCACUUCCGUCUUGGAGGUAAACAUUUGUGGUCAUGCAACUCUAGCAGCUGCACAUUUUCUCUGGUCACUUGAUCUAGUGAAUGGUGGAGUAAUUUAUUUUUCAACAAAAUCUGGAUUACUGAAAGCUAGAAAAGCUAUUUCAUUGAAUAAUUCAGAUACAACAAAUAUUUCAUUAGCCAAAUCUGAUAAGUUCUUCAUCGAGUUGGAUUUUCCAUUAUUUCCAGUAGCAGAGUGUGAUACUUCUGAGAAACCAUUGAUUCCAGAUACUCUGAAUGGUGCUUCUGUCAUCAAUGUUCUGAAAUUUGGAGCUGAUGAAGACCUCAUUGUCGAGCUUUCUUCAACAAAGGAAAUUCUCAAUUUGCAACCAAACUUUGAAGAGAUUCAAAAGUGUGCUCGUGGUUCCCUUGCCGUAACAGCACCUGCUCCUGCUGGUUCUGAAUUCGACUUCUUUACUCACUACUUCUGCCCAAAGUUUGGAGUCUAUGAGCCACAGGUACAUCAAUACAUGUAUUUGUUAUCUUUCUUGUAUAAAGUUUGAGAGAGUUGAAGAUACUCGAUACUUUAAUUGAAAACUGAAGCCGACCAAUCGUAGGAAACUGAGCCUUGAAACAGAAAGUCGACCAAUUGUAGUCUCGAGUUUCAUUUGAAUGAAUCCAUGAUAUUUUAGGAAAAAUCUCUACCUCUAUCGUUCUUUUUACAUGUACAAGAUCUAUCACAGGAUCAUGUUUGUGGAAGUGUGCACUGUGCUUUAGCACCAUACUGGAGUAAAAAGCUGGGGAAGAACAACCUUGUUGCUUACAUGGCUUCGCCAAGAAGUGGGAGACUCGACCUUGAAUUGAUUGCUGAGGCGCGUAGAAUAUGCAUUCGG
This is an RNA transcript of Zingiber officinale, 1269 nucleotides long. RefSeq lists it as uncharacterized. NCBI's taxonomy places the organism in Eukaryota, Viridiplantae, Streptophyta, Magnoliopsida, Zingiberales, Zingiberaceae. The record is from RefSeq and is a predicted model, not a curated record. The transcript has 6 exons.